This 4244-nucleotide long non-coding RNA is filed under the name Sus scrofa (pig). Its description in RNAcentral is "lncRNA (ENSSSCG00000059823.1)". Lineage: Eukaryota; Metazoa; Chordata; Mammalia; Artiodactyla; Suidae. The record is from RNAcentral.
AGGUCGGCUCGCGAGGUCUCCGCAGGAACAGCCGGCACUCCUCAAGUUCUCGCGAGAGUCUGCCAGUCAAGGACGCGGUCCGGCAAUUUAUUGGUUUUUUUUUUUUCUUCUUUCUUUUUUUUUUUUCUUUUUCCUUUGGUAGUUUUAAUUGGUACUUUGGGCCAGAAGGCGGGGCCUCACUGAGAAAGGAAACUGGCUGAGCAGACACUCUCUGCGUAGGAUCAUCAUGCCGAGCAUAAACUGGACUUUCCCACUUGCCUGGCAGGAGUGAGACAGAUCACUGUGUGCUAAAUGAGCAUCUGAGAUGUCCUUGGUGUGUGCAUCCCUGUGGAAUCUGGUUCAUCUCCAAUCUGUCAGAAAGCAUCAGAGGUGGUUUUGAGUCCUUAUGUCCUGAGCCUGUGGACAAAAUGUACCUUGUGUGGAGGAAAAUGAGAUCCCGAGUGAAGUCUACAAUGUCAUUGACUCUGAAGAAGGACUCAGAGACCCAUUGGUGUUUAAUGACCCUUACUGGCCUAUGCAAUGGGAACUGGCUCAGCUAUAUAUGAUCACAGGCCCAUCCCCUAAAACUUAUAUGGAAACUUGAAUGAUGUCAGCUUCUAAAGGACACUGUAUGAAGGACUGGAUUGCCAGUGGUAAGGAGGAGAAAAGGAACAAGAAAAAUUGGAAAGAUAAAUGUGGUCUUUCCAGUGAAGACCCAGACUGGGAGUGUCUCAAGAGAAAGACUGAGCCACAGAGGCAGAAUCCCACAGGCUCAAUUUUCCUACAUAAUUCAGAGUUGUGGCUUGGGCAAUGCCAAGAACCACAUCUGCACUGAAAUCAAUUAUCUGUUGGGUAAGUGGGGCAGACAUGUUUGAUAUUUUUUUUAGCUGCAGUCAACUCCAAUGUUUACAUUUUAUCUAUAAUUUUAUUGAAGACUCUUAGGAAAAUUUCUCAGUAUCACUUAAGAUUAUUUUGUCCGAAGUGCUUUGUACUCUGGCAGGGUUGGGAUCUGCCUUUAUGGAUAUUUUUAAACUAUCCUGUUUAAAACUAGGAGGUCUAAUAUACUGCCAUUCUUAAACAAACAAACAAAAAAAGGGAAAGACUAAAAUACAUUCAUUUGUAUAAUCCACUUUGAAUCUAGUACUUAUUUUUCAUCAAAGUCAAACUCAAGGAGUUCCCAUCGUGGCUCAGCGGUUAAUGAAUCUGGCUAGCAUACAUGAGAACGCAAUUUCAAUCCCUGGCCUUGCUCAGUGGGUUGGGGAUCCGGCAUUGCUGUGAGCUGUGGUGUAGGUCGCAGACACAGCUCAGAUUCUGUGUGGCUGUGGUAUAGACUGGUAGCUGUAACUCUGAUUUGACUGCUAGCUUGGGAACCUCCAUUUGCCUCAGGUGUGGCCUUAAAGAACCAAAAAAAAACAAAAAAAAAAGUCAAACUCAAAUCAAAAUACUUCUAAUUGAUCACAUUGAAAAAUUAAACCUCUCAUGUCUUCUGGCUGCUGUCAUGAAAUACCAUAAACCGGAUAGCUUACAAACAAGGGCAAUUUAUUUCUCACAGUUCUGUAGGCUGGAAAGUUCAAGAUCAAGGCCCUGGAAGUCUUGUUUUCUGGUGAGUGUUCAUAUAUAGUCAUCUUCUCACUGUGCCCUCACAAGGCAGAACAGCAAGAUCUCUGUGGUCUCUUUUAUUAGAGCACUAAUCCCAUUUAAGAGAACACCUCCCUCAAGACCUAAUCACCUUCCAAAAGCCCUACUUCCAAAUACCAUCAUACCUGGGACUGAGUUUAACAUAUGAAUUUGGGGUGGGGGUCACAAGCAUUCAUCUUGCAGUAUCACUCUUCCCUGAUAUCUCUUUCAUCACUUUAUUUUAUAAAGAUUAGGAAUUUAGAAGAUCAGGAUUUUACUUCAGCUGUUUAUCCAAUCUUCCUUAGAGACUAAGAAUUUCCCAAACACCUAAGUAUUAUCUUGUUAUACUUGGCCCUUUGCCUCUGUUUUGCCAGUUAACAUUUUCUGUUAAUUAUUUUAUUUUAUUUUAUUUUUUAUUUGCUAAAGACUGAAAAAUAAAAUGAACUGCAGUUUUAUCUUUGAUAAUAUGAUCAAAUAUAAAAAUUUCUCAGUAUGUUAUUGUCCCAUUUGUUAAAUCUUUACAAAAAUGGUGACAAAGCAGUGGGCAACUGUAUAAAAAGCAUUUAGAAAGAUCAUGAAGAAAUUAAUAUAAGAAAAUAGGAUAUAGAAAUAAAGUAUAAGAGAACAAAAUGUUGAGAAAGAGAAAGCACAAUAAAAUUUGAAUUAAUUAAUAGUGAGUGCUAAUCACUUAUUCAGUAUUUACUGAACAAUUGCUAUGUUCUAAAGGCUGAUCUAUUUCUAUGAUGUGCCACUAAUCAUUUCAUAUUGAAAAUAUUUCUGAUAUUAAAUAUUUUUAUAUCAAACCAAUGGGUGUUUAUUAUAGAAAAUUUCUCAUAUCAGAAAUAUCAAAAAUAGAAAAAUGAAAAAAUCUUUAAUAAUAUUCUUGCGUGCAAAGUAUUGCUAAUAUUUAGUAUCUUUUUUCUGCGUACUUACGCUGUUUUUAUUUAAUUGCAAAUAUUCUGAGUAUUGAGAUGUAUAUUCUGAUUUUUUCAAUUAAAAUUUUUAUUAUUUUCCCAUUAUAUUAAAUAUCUAAAAUAUGGUUUUAAAUGACUCUAUGAUAUGUAAACAAAUUUAUAUGCCAGAAUUUAUUGAAUUUUUCCCAUAUUCUUGGGCAUUUAGGUUGUUUAUAGUAUUUUAUUUUAGGUGAUGUUACAAUCAAUAUUUUCAUUCAUAAAUCUUUGGUUUGCCUCACCACUUUUCCAAAAAAUAAAUCCCCCAGUGUGUAACUGUGAGUAUAAAAAUGAUAGUGAGCAAAAUUAUAUCAACUUAAAUGUCUACCAGUAGUUUGAAAUUAUGCCUAAUUCUUGUUUCCCCCUCAUCCAGUGAAGUAUAAUUUUUAAAAAUACUAUUACUCAAGAAACCUUUGCCAAUAUAAUGUAUAAAAAAGAUUAUUUUGUUUUAAUUUGCAUUUAUUUGAUUGUAAAUGUGGUUGAAUAUUUUUCAUAUGCUUAUUAAGUAUUUGUAUUUUUCUCAUAUCAAAUAGCUCUUUUGAGCUAUUUUUUUGUCUUAUUGAUUGGAUAGAAGUUUUUACAUAUUAAUGUUUAAACCUCUUUUUAAUUGGUAACAUUUCAUCAAACAUUGUUUGCCUUUUAUUGUUCUUUAUAUAUACUUAGCAUUCUUAACGUUGACCAAACUCAAAUCCUUGGAGCUUUCUAUUUUAAUUAAGAAAAUUUUUUAUUGAAGUAUAGUUGAUUUACAAUAUUAUGUUAGCUUCAGGUGUACAGCAAAGUGAUUCAUUUAUACAUAUAUAUAUAUAUAUUAUUUUUCAGAUUAUUUUCCCUUAUAGGUUAUUACAAAUAAAUUAUUGAGUGCAGUUCCUUGUGUUAUAGAGUAGGAACUUGUUGAUUAUCUAUUUUAUAUGUAAUAGAGUGUAUCCUCCUAAUUUAUCUCUCCCCUCACUUUUCCCUUUGGUAAGCAUAUGUUUGUCUUUGUCUAUGGGUGUAUUUCUAUUUUGCAUAUAAGUUCAUUUUUAUCAUUUUUUUAAACUCCACAUAUAAGUGACAUCAUAUGAUAUUUGUCUUUCUCUGUCUGCCUUAUUUCACUUAGUAUGAUAAUGUCUAGGUCCAUCCAUGUUGCUGCAAAUAGCAUUAUUUCAUUCUUUUUGAUGGCUCAGUAAUAUUUCAUCAUAUACACCCACUGUAUCUUCUUUAUCCAUUCAUCUGUCAAUAGACAUUUAUGUUGCUUCCAUGUCUUGGCUAUUGUAAAGAGUGCUGCAGUGAACAUUGGGGUGCAUGUAUCUUUUUAAAUUACAGUUUUCUCUGGAUAUAUGAAGAGGAGUGGGAUUAUAGGAUCAUAUGGUAGCUCCAUUUUUAGUUUUUUAAGGAAUCUCUUUUUUGUUCUCUAUAGUGGCUAUACCAAUUUACAUUCCCAUCAACAGUGUAGGAGGGUUCCCUUUUCUCUACACCUUCUCCAGAAUUUAUUAUUUGUAGACUUGGAGUUUCUGUUGUGGCUGAGCAGUAACAAAUCCAAUUAGUAUCCAAGAGGAUGUGGGUUUGAUCCCUGGCCUCAUUCAGUGGGCUGGGAAUCCUGCAUUUCCAUGAGCUGUGAUAUUGGUCACAGACAGGACUCAGAUCCCACAUUGCUGUGUCUGUGAUGGAGGCUGGCAGCUGUAACUCCAAUUCAACCCCUAAUCUGGGAACUCCCAUAUG